Molecule: ribosomal RNA, 467 nt
Filed under: uncultured Nitrosomonas sp.
Lineage: Bacteria; Pseudomonadati; Pseudomonadota; Betaproteobacteria; Nitrosomonadales; Nitrosomonadaceae
Description: bacterial SSU rRNA
Rfam family: Bacterial small subunit ribosomal RNA
Source: RNAcentral
GGAGAAAAGCAGGGGAUCGAAAGACCUUAUGCUUUUGGAGCGGCCGAUGUCUGAUUAGCUAGUUGGUAAGGUAAUGGCUUACCAAGGCGACGAUCAGUAGUUGGUCUGAGAGGACGACCAGCCACACUGGGACUGAGACACGGCCCAGACUCCUACGGGAGGCAGCAGUGGGGAAUUUUGGACAAUGGGCGCAAGCCUGAUCCAGCAAUGCCGCGUGAGUGAAGAAGGCCUUCGGGUUGUAAAGCUCUUUCAGUCGAGAAGAAAAGAUUACUGAUAAUACCAGUAAUCCAUGACGGUAUCGACAGAAGAAGCACCGGCUAACUACGUGCCAGCAGCCGCGGUAAUACGUAGGGUGCGAGCGUUAAUCGGAAUUACUGGGCGUAAAGGGUGCGCAGGCGGUUACGUAAGUCAGAUGUGAAAUCCCCGGGCUUAACCUGGGAACUGCGUUUGAAACUACAAAGCUAGAA